GAUGAAGAACGUAGCGAAAUGCGAUAAGUAAUGUGAAUUGCAGAAUUCAGUGAAUCAUCGAAUCUUUGAACGCACAUUGCGCCCUUUGGUAUUCCUUAGGGCAUGCCUGUUCGAGCGUCAUUUAAACCUUCAAGCUCAGCUUGGUGUUGGGUGACUGUCCGCUUCACCGCGGACUCGCCUCAAAAUUAUUGGCGGCCGGUACAUUGGCUCUCGAGCGCAGCAGAAACGCGUAACUCGAGGUCCUCGUGCUGGCUCCCAGAAGCUAUCUUCACAAUUUUGACCUCGGAUCAGGUAGGGAUACCCGCUGAACUUAAGCAUAUCAAUAAGCGGAGGA
Molecule: unclassified non-coding RNA, 334 nt
Filed under: soil metagenome
Description: partial contains 5.8S ribosomal RNA, internal transcribed spacer 2, and large subunit ribosomal RNA
Rfam family: 5.8S ribosomal RNA (bases 1-120)
Source: RNAcentral